GGCGGCGUCGGUAAAGCUUGUUGGAUUUUGUUUUAUUUGUAAAGUUAUUUACGACAAGGAAAACCAGAAAGUUUCCACAUUUGGUGUAAACAAAACUAAUUUGGAAUCUUGGCAGCAAAAAGUAGGCGGAAUUACUGUUGGGGACAGAUUGUGUGAAAAACAUUUUGCUCCACAUGAUGUUAUUAAAGGAUCUUUUGUGCUGGACUAUUUUUGUCCUUACAAAAGGUGGAGGCUUGCUGAAAAUGCAAUCCCACAAUACUUCCUCACAUCACAGAAACCAAAGAAGCGUAAAGCACUAGUCGACAAAAUUGAAAAUUUGUCUGGAUUUAAAACAAAGCACAGAGAUGCAAAGGUUAUUCCAAAUCAGUCUCCCAGACUAACAACCAGACCAAAGCAGAAAACAACCAAGAAACCCGCAGAAGAAACAAUAAUUAUCAAUCAAGAUACGGCAAGUGCUGCAUCACCUCAUUGUAUUGGUAGUUCCCCUACAUUUGGUAAAGUAAAUAUUCAUUUAAUUUAAAUAUAAUUAAUAGACAUUGUUGCUUACGGGCUAAUGGAAAUUGAUGCUGUUGGUGGAGAUCUUAGAAUGGAGACUACGAUAAAUAUGGAUUCCAUUAUAUCAUCAUCAGUCCAACUAGACACUGAUGAUGUCGUAUUUGAUCCGUCUCUUUCAUUGUUUUGUUCCUCUCUGUCAACGUCAGGUGUGACUGUGUAUUAACCUAGUUCAUCAACGACCAACAACCAAUCUUUUGAAGAUGUCUCUGCCCUCGGUAUACAGCACACAACCCUAGCAAAUAUCUUGCGGGGCAAAACCAGUUUUUCCCGGGUAUUUUUCACCAGUUUUAAGAUGAAACCCCGUGGUUUACCCCUGGUGAAUAACCGCUUGUUUGCGUGCGGAAAACGGUUUAAAACUAGUAUUUAUAACCGUUUUAGAACCCACCUUCCAUAUAAUACUGAGAGGUAGUACAGUGAGCAAAAAGGUGAAGAAAAUCGGUAUUUUACUGGUGGUAACUACGAUUUAUAAACCAACCUUCCGUAAGAAAAAAAGAGGUAACACAGCGAGCAAUAAGGUGAGAAAAACCGGUAAUUUUCUGGUAGUAACUACGACUUAUGAACUAGAAUUUAAAAAUGGUUCCAGGUACCCUACUUUUUAAAACUACUGAGCUUCCCCUU
Molecule: long non-coding RNA, 1173 nt
Filed under: Daphnia magna
Lineage: Eukaryota; Metazoa; Arthropoda; Branchiopoda; Diplostraca; Daphniidae
Description: uncharacterized LOC116916437, transcript variant X1
Source: RNAcentral